UCUGCUUUGGGGUGCAUAUUUUGGAAAACCAUAGAGCCGAAUUGUAGGAGCCGGUUUUAAACACUAAUACUGACCACUGUACCAGGUACGCCUGUACUGAUCUGUCUGUCUCUUGUUUUACCUACACACGUGAACACUUACCCAGUCUUGCAGGACGAAUAAUAAUGGACGUUGAUUAUAAUAUUUCUAAAUACUGAACCAUCGACGAUCAUCACAUCCUGAACACGAAUCUACACAGGACUCAUCCACAAACACGUUAAAGAUACACAGAAAGCGAGUAGUAGGUUCGAUACACAAAUAUAUACGAUACAUUUGAUGUAUUCAUCAUGCUGAUACAAGUUGGUGCAUAAUACUUAUACACGUUGGAAAUACACAGAA
This 378-nucleotide small RNA is filed under the name Drosophila willistoni. Its description in RNAcentral is "GK27076". Lineage: Eukaryota; Metazoa; Arthropoda; Insecta; Diptera; Drosophilidae. The record is from RNAcentral.